GGCCUUAUGGUCUAGUAGCAUGAUUCUUCCUUUGGGUGUUCACCUGAUCUGGAAGAGGUCUCGGGUUCAAUUCCCGAUGAGGCCC
Non-coding RNA from Pholiota conissans, 85 nucleotides. NCBI's taxonomy places the organism in Eukaryota, Fungi, Basidiomycota, Agaricomycetes, Agaricales, Strophariaceae. The record is from the annotation of a GenBank genome assembly.